This 642-nucleotide ribosomal RNA is filed under the name Triticum aestivum (bread wheat). RNAcentral's name for it is "partial small subunit ribosomal RNA". Lineage: Eukaryota; Viridiplantae; Streptophyta; Magnoliopsida; Poales; Poaceae. The record is from RNAcentral.
CCGCCGCCUCCCCGCAAAGCUCUCGCUCCCGUCGCCAGAGCCCCGGCGCCGGCGCGAGGCGGCGGUGACGCGACGGAGGAGCCGGGCCAGGCGCCCGACGACUGGGCCGCGCUUGCGGGGCGGCUGGCGCUGGGCGCGCUCCUGGGCUCCGCCGCCCUGCUCGGCUGCCGUGGCGCGGCACUCGUGGCGGCCGAGGACUCCAUCAGGGUGUCCGGGUUCAGGCUGCGGGUGGCGGUGUCACUACGAAGCCUCGGCUGGCCCGACGAGGCUGUCGUGUUCACACUUGCCACAUUGCCGGUGCUCGAGCUGCGCGGAGCAAUUCCGGCCGGGUAUUGGAUGCGCCUUCACCCCGUCCAGCUGACCGUCCUGGCAGUUUGUGGGAACAUGGUGCCUGUGCCAUUCAUCAUCCUCUACCUAAAGAAAUCGCAAAGAAGCGCUUGGGCAACCCAGAUAAUGGACCUCCUCUUCGAACUGAUGGGAUGGAAGGUUGCACCCGUCGAGGAGUUCCAGUGGCUCGGGCUGAUGCUGUUCGCCGCCGUCCCAUUCCCAUGCACCGGAGCAUGGACCGGCGCCAUCACCUCGUCCGUCUUUGGCAUGCCGUUCUGGCCAGGCUUGUCUGCGAAUUUCGUGGGGUGCCCUUGA